GCUGGGUGCAUUGGUGCAUGCCUGUAAUCCCAAUGGCUUGGGAGGCUGAGGCAGGAGGAUUUCAAGUUCAAAGCCAGUUUCAGCAGUUUAGUGAGGCCCUCAGCAACUUAGUGAGACCCUGUCUCUA
This 127-nucleotide small RNA is filed under the name Marmota monax (woodchuck). Lineage: Eukaryota; Metazoa; Chordata; Mammalia; Rodentia; Sciuridae. The record is from RNAcentral.